CCCUUAGACACUCUAGGCGGCACGCGCGCUACAAUGGGUGGAAGAACGUGUUACUGCCUCCGAAAGGAGGGGUGAAUCACGAAUUCUUGCCCGUGAAUGGGAUAGUUUGUUGCAAUUUUCGGACUUGAACUAGGAAUCCCUUGUAAACAUGCUCAAGAAUAGCGUGUUGAAUACGUCCCUGCCGUUUGUACACACCGCCCGUCGUUUCUUCCGACUGAUACUCAUUGUGAGUUGCAAGGACCCUUUAUUGGGAAAUUGCUGCAAAUGCUUUGUAUUGGAGGAAGAAAAAGGCGUAACA
This 298-nucleotide ribosomal RNA is filed under the name uncultured eukaryote. Its description in RNAcentral is "partial 18S ribosomal RNA". It matches the Rfam family "Eukaryotic small subunit ribosomal RNA", at positions 1470 to 1796 of the family's 1831-position model. The record is from RNAcentral.